UACGAAGGGGGCUAGCGUUGUUCGGAAUUACUGGGCGUAAAGCGCACGUAGGUGGUCCGUUAAGUCAGUUGUGAAAUCCCCGGGCUCAACUCGGGAACUGCUUCUGAUACUGGCGGACUUGAGGCCAGUAGGGGUCACUAGAACUGACGGUGGAGCGGUGAAAUGCGUAGAUAUCGUCAGGAAUGCCGGUGGUGAAGACGGGUGACUGGGCUGGUUCUGACACUGAGGCACGAAAGCGUGGGGAGCGAACGGG
This 253-nucleotide ribosomal RNA is filed under the name uncultured bacterium. Its description in RNAcentral is "partial 16S ribosomal RNA". It matches the Rfam family "Bacterial small subunit ribosomal RNA", at positions 524 to 776 of the family's 1533-position model. The record is from RNAcentral.